GCUAUACAUGCAAGUCGAACGCUUUGUGGUUCAACUGAUUUGAAGAGCUUGCUCAGAUAUGACGAUGGACAUUGCAAAGAGUGGCGAACGGGUGAGUAACACGUGGGAAACCUACCUCUUAGCAGGGGAUAACAUUUGGAAACAGAUGCUAAUACCGUAUAACAAUGACAACCGCAUGGUUGUUAUUUAAAAGAUGGUUCUGCUAUCACUAAGAGAUGGUCCCGCGGUGCAUUAGCUAGUUGGUAAGGUAAUGGCUUACCAAGGCGAUGAUGCAUAGCCGAGUUGAGAGACUGAUCGGCCACAAUGGGACUGAGACACGGCCCAUACUCCUACGGGAGGCAGCAGUAGGGAAUCUUCCACAAUGGGCGAAAGCCUGAUGGAGCAACGCCGCGUGUGUGAUGAAGGGUUUCGGCUCGUAAAACACUGUUGUAAGAGAAGAAUGACAUUGAGAGUAACUGUUCAAUGUGUGACGGUAUCUUACCAGAAAGGAACGGCUAAAUACGUGCCAGCAGCCGCGGUAAUACGUAUGUUCCAAGCGUUAUCCGGAUUUAUUGGGCGUAAAGCGAGCGCAGACGGUUAUUUAAGUCUGAAGUGAAAGCCCUCAGCUCAACUGAGGAAUUGCUUUGGAAACUGGAUGACUUGAGUGCAGUAGAGGAAAGUGGAACUCCAUGUGUAGCGGUGAAAUGCGUAGAUAUAUGGAAGAACACCAGUGGCGAAGGCGGCUUUCUGGACUGUAACUGACGUUGAGGCUCGAAAGUGUGGGUAGCAAACAGGAUUAGAUACCCUGGUAGUCCACACCGUAAACGAUGAGUGCUAGGUGUUUGAGGGUUUCCGCCCUUAAGUGCCGCAGCUAACGCAUUAAGCACUCCGCCUGGGGAGUACGACCGCAAGGUUGAAACUCAAAGGAAUUGACGGGGACCCGCACAAGCGGUGGAGCAUGUGGUUUAAUUCGAAGCAACGCGAAGAACCUUACCAGGUCUUGACAUCCCUUGACAACUCCAGAGAUGGAGCGUUCCCUUCGGGGACAAGGUGACAGGUGGUGCAUGGUUGUCGUCAGCUCGUGUCGUGAGAUGUUGGGUUAAGUCCCGCAACGAGCGCAACCCUUAUUACUAGUUGCCAGCAUUCAGUUGGGCACUCUAGUGAGACUGCCGGUGACAAACCGGAGGAAGGUGGGGAUGACGUCAAAUCAUCAUGCCCCUUAUGACCUGGGCUACACACGUGCUACAAUGGCGUAUACAACGAGUUGCCAACCCGCGAGGGUGAGCUAAUCUCUUAAAGUACGUCUCAGUUCGGAUUGUAGGCUGCAACUCGCCUACAUGAAGUCGGAAUCGCUAGUAAUCGCGGAUCAGCACGCCGCGGUGAAUACGUUCCCGGGUCUUGUACACACCGCCCGUCACACCAUGAGAGUUUGUAACACCCAAAGCCGGUGGGGUAACCUUCGGGAGCCAGCCGUCUAAGGUGACAG
This 1465-nucleotide ribosomal RNA is filed under the name Weissella confusa. RNAcentral's name for it is "bacterial SSU rRNA". It matches the Rfam family "Bacterial small subunit ribosomal RNA". Lineage: Bacteria; Bacillati; Bacillota; Bacilli; Lactobacillales; Lactobacillaceae. The record is from RNAcentral.